RNAcentral lists this long non-coding RNA (831 nucleotides) under Homo sapiens (human). RNAcentral describes it as "non-protein coding lnc-TM9SF3-2:1". Lineage: Eukaryota; Metazoa; Chordata; Mammalia; Primates; Hominidae. The record is from RNAcentral.
AUGGUGGAUGAUGCUGAUGCAGUGGGAGGGCCUGGGGGUCCUGGAAUGGCAGGCUGCGAUGGCCUCCCUGGAGGCUUUGGCAGUGACAUCAGGCCAAGGUUGUGGCUGUGGCUGGGGCCAAGGCUCUGGAGCUCAUAGAGGUAAGUCUGAGAACAAGGAGUCGACGCCUAUCACUAAGUUAAACCAUCUGGCCAAAGAUGUGAAGAUCAAGUCCUGGGAGAGCUGUCUUCUCUCUGCCCAUCAAGGUGUCUGAGAUCAUUGACCUUUUCCUGGAGUCGUCUCUCAAGAAUGGGGUUCUGAAGAUUAUGCUGGCACAGAAGUUGACCCAUGCUGGCCAUUUCACCAGGUUCAAGGUGUUUGUUGCCUUUGAGGACUACAAUGGCCAUGUUGUCUGGGUAUUAAGCACUCCAAGGGGGUAGCCACUACCAUCCAACGGGCCAUCAUCCCAGCCAAGCUCUCCAUUGGACCCGCACAGAGAGGCUACAGGGGGAACAAGAUCAGCAAGCCCCACACCAGCCUUUGCAACGUGACAGGCCACUGGCUCUGUGCUGGUGUGUGUGCCUCAUCCCUGCCCCCAGGGGCACUAAGCAUCAUCUUGGCCUCUGUGCCCAAGAAGCUGCUGCUGAUGGCUGCUACGCCUUGGCCAGGGACCGCACUGCCACCCUGGGCCACCUUUGAUGCCAUCUCUAAGACUGCUAGCAACUGGAUCCCUGACCUCUGGAAAGAGACUGUAUUCACCAAGUUUCCCUACCAGGAAUUCACUGACCAUCUCUCAAGACCCACACCAGAGUCUCUAAGCAGAAGACGCAGGUUCCAGCUGUGGCUACAACG